GACGGAGGAUGCAAGCGUUAUCCGGAAUGAUUGGGCGUAAAGCGUCCGCAGGUGGCAGUUCAAGUCUGCUGUCAAAGACCGGGGCUUAACUUCGGAAAGGCAGUGGAAACUGAACAGCUAGAGUAUGGUAGGGGCAGAGGGAAUUCCCGGUGUAGCGGUGAAAUGCGUAGAUAUCGGGAAGAACACCAGUGGCGAAAGCGGGUUGCUGGGCUGACACUGACGCUGAGGCGCGAAAGCGUGGGGAUCAAACAGG
This 253-nucleotide ribosomal RNA is filed under the name uncultured bacterium. Its description in RNAcentral is "partial 16S ribosomal RNA". It matches the Rfam family "Bacterial small subunit ribosomal RNA", at positions 524 to 776 of the family's 1533-position model. The record is from RNAcentral.